This 254-nucleotide ribosomal RNA is filed under the name uncultured bacterium. RNAcentral describes it as "partial 16S ribosomal RNA". It matches the Rfam family "Bacterial small subunit ribosomal RNA", at positions 524 to 776 of the family's 1533-position model. The record is from RNAcentral.
UACAGAGGGUGCGAGCGUUGUCCGGAAUCACUGGGCGUAAAGGGCGCGCAGGCGGCUGCUCAAGUCAGGCGUGAAAGGCCUGGGCUCAACCCGGGAAUUGCGCUUGAGACUGGGCUGGCUUGAGUGCGGGAGAGGAUGGUGGAAUUCCCAGUGUAGAGGUGAAAUUCGUAGAUAUUGGGAAGAACACCGGUGGCGAAGGCGGCCAUCUGGACCGCAACUGACGCUGAGGCGCGAAAGCGUGGGGAGCAAACAGG